RNAcentral lists this ribosomal RNA (468 nucleotides) under uncultured bacterium. RNAcentral's name for it is "partial 16S ribosomal RNA". It matches the Rfam family "Bacterial small subunit ribosomal RNA", at positions 28 to 507 of the family's 1533-position model. The record is from RNAcentral.
GACGAACGCUGGCGGCGUGCUUAACACAUGCAAGUCGAACGGAAAGGCCCUGCUUUUGUGGGGUGCUCGAGUGGCGAACGGGUGAGUAACACGUGAGUAACCUGCCCUUGACUUUGGGAUAACUUCAGGAAACUGGGGCUAAUACCGGAUAGGAGCUCCUGCUGCAUGGUGGGGGUUGGAAAGUUUCGGCGGUUGGGGAUGGACUCGCGGCUUAUCAGCUUGUUGGUGGGGUAGUGGCUUACCAAGGCUUUGACGGGUAGCCGGCCUGAGAGGGUGACCGGCCACAUUGGGACUGAGAUACGGACCAGACUCCUACGGGAGGCAGCAGUGGGGAAUAUUGCACAAUGGGCGGAAGCCUGAUGCAGCAACGCCGCGUGCGGGAUGACGGCCUUCGGGCUGUAAACCGCUUUCGCAUGUGACGAAGCGUGAGUGACGGUAAUGGGUAAAGAAGCACCGGCUAACUACGUG